RNAcentral lists this transfer RNA (76 nucleotides) under Patescibacteria group bacterium. Its description in RNAcentral is "tRNA-Val". It matches the Rfam family "tRNA". From Rfam's summary of the family: Transfer RNA (tRNA) molecules are approximately 80 nucleotides in length. Their secondary structure includes four short double-helical elements and three loops (D, anti-codon, and T loops). The record is from RNAcentral.
GCGCGAUUAGCUCAGUUGGUAGAGCAGUCCAUUUACACUGGAAAGGUCGGGGGUUCAAGUCCCUCAUCGCGCACUA